This 647-nucleotide long non-coding RNA is filed under the name Struthio camelus australis. Its description in RNAcentral is "lncRNA (ENSSCUG00000006391.1)". Lineage: Eukaryota; Metazoa; Chordata; Aves; Struthioniformes; Struthionidae. The record is from RNAcentral.
AACUAAAUAGCUGUAAUAAAGUAAUUUAUCUAUUCCUGCUAUGUUUUACUAUAGACCCUGGUUAAAAACAAAUGUACAUUUGGAAGGCCUGGUUGCCUCCUAAAUCACGAAAAUGAGAAAUUCUACUGGAUAAUAAAUACUGCAAAUUAAUACAGCAUUUUUUAUAAUUGUUCAACAAUUUCAAAGGAGGUCAUCAUUUUCUUUUAUUGUCACUGGCACCAAAGUAGGGCACUUUUGUAACAAUAUAACCUCAAUGCUUGCCUAGUCAGGGUUGGAAAGCCCCUGGAGACUUUCCUUAGGUAUUCUGUUUGAAGUUGUAAAUCUAGAUUUGAACUGUUCUAAGGCAACUUUGUGUUGCUUCGUUAGAGGAAGAGACUACAUCAGCCAGAUCUUCCUGAUCCAACAAUGUGAUUCAAGGACACGGUGGAAGACUUGAUCCAUUCAGUGGGCCCUGAGUUUCACUCCAGCCUCCUAGCAGGUUGUCUGCUUGCAAGGGAAAAUUUGCAACAAGGGCACACAACUGAUUUAUGUUUCCUAGCCUCCCCCAGUGGUAGGCUGUGUAAAGGACAUACUGUUGAUCAGUGUGGUGGGAUCACAGAGAUCCAGAUAUACAUUUAUGUAUAGCCGUACAUUCUUCAGCCUCCGUG